Molecule: unclassified non-coding RNA, 373 nt
Filed under: soil metagenome
Description: partial contains 5.8S ribosomal RNA, internal transcribed spacer 2, and large subunit ribosomal RNA
Rfam family: 5.8S ribosomal RNA (bases 1-120)
Source: RNAcentral
GAUGAAGAACGUAGCGAAAUGCGAUAAGUAAUGUGAAUUGCAGAAUUCAGUGAAUCAUCGAAUCUUUGAACGCGCAUUGCGUCCGCCAGUAUUCUGGCGGGCAUGCCUGUUCGAGCGUCAUUACAACCCUCAAGCCCCCCGGCUUGGUGUUGGGGACCGGCCACCGGUGCCCUGCUGCUUCCGCGGCAGGCGCACCCGGCCGCCCCCGAAAUGAAUUGGCGGCCCCGUCGCGGCCGCCCUCUGCGUAGUAGCACACAUCUCGCAGCGUGAGCGCGGCGCGGCCACGGCCGUAAAACGCACCAACUUUUUUUACAGUUGACCUCGAAGCAGGUAGGAAUACCCGCUGAACUUAAGCAUAUCAAUAAGUGGAGGA